GUCUAUGGCCAUACCACCCAGAACAUGCCUGAUCUCGUCUGAUCUCGGAAGCUAAGCAGGGUUGGGCCUGGUUAGUACUUGGAUGGGAGAAAGCAUCAAUGUUUGCAGUAAACU
Molecule: ribosomal RNA, 114 nt
Filed under: Meriones unguiculatus (Mongolian gerbil)
Lineage: Eukaryota; Metazoa; Chordata; Mammalia; Rodentia; Muridae
Source: RNAcentral